GAUGAACGCUGGCGGCGUGCUUAACACAUGCAAGUCGAACGAAGCACUUUAUUUGAUUUCCUUCGGGACUGAUUAUUUUGUGACUGAGUGGCGGACGGGUGAGUAACGCGUGGGUAACCUGCCUUGUACAGGGGGAUAACAGUUGGAAACGGCUGCUAAUACCGCAUAAGCGCACGGCAUCGCAUGAUGCAGUGUGAAAAACUCCGGUGGUAUAAGAUGGACCCGCGUUGGAUUAGCUAGUUGGUGAGGUAACGGCCCACCAAGGCGACGAUCCAUAGCCGACCUGAGAGGGUGACCGGCCACAUUGGGACUGAGACACGGCCCAAACUCCUACGGGAGGCAGCAGUGGGGAAUAUUGCACAAUGGGCGAAAGCCUGAUGCAGCGACGCCGCGUGAGCGAAGAAGUAUCUCGGUAUGUAAAGCUCUAUCAGCAGGGAAGAUAAUGACGGUACCUGACUAAGAAGCACCGGCUAAAUACGUG
This 481-nucleotide ribosomal RNA is filed under the name uncultured bacterium. Its description in RNAcentral is "partial 16S ribosomal RNA". It matches the Rfam family "Bacterial small subunit ribosomal RNA", at positions 28 to 507 of the family's 1533-position model. The record is from RNAcentral.